This 156-nucleotide ribosomal RNA is filed under the name uncultured bacterium. RNAcentral's name for it is "partial 16S ribosomal RNA". It matches the Rfam family "Bacterial small subunit ribosomal RNA", at positions 338 to 508 of the family's 1533-position model. The record is from RNAcentral.
CCUACGGGAGGCAGCAGUGGGGAAUAUUGCACAAUGGGGGGAAACCCUGAUGCAGCGACGCCGCGUUGGAGGAAGAAGGUCUUCGGAUUGUAAACUCCUGUUGUUGAGGAAUGAUAAUGACGGUACUCAACAAGGAAGUGACGGCUAACUACGUGC